RNAcentral lists this ribosomal RNA (402 nucleotides) under uncultured Lachnospiraceae bacterium. Its description in RNAcentral is "bacterial SSU rRNA". It matches the Rfam family "Bacterial small subunit ribosomal RNA", at positions 355 to 774 of the family's 1533-position model. The record is from RNAcentral. Lineage: Bacteria; Bacillati; Bacillota; Clostridia; Lachnospirales; Lachnospiraceae.
UGGGGAAUAUUGCACAAUGGGGGAAACCCUGAUGCAGCGACGCCGCGUGAGCGAAGAAGUAUCUCGGUAUGUAAAGCUCUAUCAGCAGGGAAGAAAAUGACGGUACCUGACUAAGAAGCCCCGGCUAACUACGUGCCAGCAGCCGCGGUAAUACGUAGGGGGCAAGCGUUAUCCGGAUUUACUGGGUGUAAAGGGAGCGCAGGCGGCGCGGUAAGUCUGAUGUGAAAGCCCGGGGCUCAACCCCGGGACUGCAUUGGAAACUGUCGUGCUGGAGUGUCGGAGGGGCAAGUGGAAUUCCUAGUGUAGCGGUGAAAUGCGUAGAUAUUAGGAGGAACACCAGUGGCGAAGGCGGCUUGCUGGACGACAACUGACGCUGAGGCUCGAAAGCGUGGGGAGCAAACA